Molecule: ribosomal RNA, 1348 nt
Filed under: Muribaculaceae bacterium
Lineage: Bacteria; Pseudomonadati; Bacteroidota; Bacteroidia; Bacteroidales; Muribaculaceae
Description: partial 23S ribosomal RNA
Rfam family: Bacterial large subunit ribosomal RNA
Source: RNAcentral
CGGAGCCGAAGCGAAAGCGAGUCUGAACAGGGCGUCAGAGUCGGGGGCGGUGGACGCGAAACCAAGUGAUCUACCCUUGGGCAGGCUGAAGGCGUGGUAACACACGCUGGAGGGCCGAACCGGUAAGCGUUGAAAAGCUUUCGGAUGACCUGAGGGUAGGAGUGAAAGGCCAAUCAAACUUGGAGAUAGCUCGUACUCCCCGAAAUGCAUUUAGGUGCAGCCUCGGGAUAAGUGCCGCGGAGGUAGAGCGACCGAUAGGGUGCGAGGGCUUCGCCGCCUAUCAAGCCCUGACGAACUCCGAAUGCCGCGGCAUGUUUCCCGGGAGUGAGGGCGCGGGUGCUAAGGUCCGCGUCCGAGAGAGGAACAACUCAGACCACCGGUUAAGGCCCCCAAAUGCGGGCUAAGUUGAAGACCAUAACGAGGUGGGGCCGCACGGACAGCUAGGAUGUUGGCUUGGAAGCAGCCAUUCAUUUAAAGAGUGCGUAACAGCUCACUAGUCGAGCGGCCCCGCGUGGAUAAUAAUCGGGCAUAAGCCCGCUGCCGAAACCGUGGAAUGCCCAAUUAGUGGGCAUUGGUAGGGGAGCAUUCCCGUGACGCCGAAGGCUCGGCGCGAGCCGAGCUGGAGUUCCGGGAAAAGCAAAUGUAGGUAUAAGUAACGACAAUGGGGGCGGGAAACCCCCACGCCGAAAGACCCAGGGUUCCUGAUCAACGCUAAUCGGAUCAGGGUAAGUCGGGACCUAAGGGGGAGCCGCAAGGCGCACCCGAUGGACAGCCGGUUAAUAUUCCGGCACCCGUCUUGCGAGCGAUGCGGCGACGGAGAAGUGACACACCCGCGCGCUGACGGAAUAGCGCGUUAAACCGCGUAGUUAUACGGGCCGCAGUCAAGCACACGGCGCGUGACGAAACGGGACAGUACGCCGAGGCCCCGGCCGAGGCGACAGCGGUGGUAACCAUGCUCCCAAGAAAACCCGCUAAGCAUAUCGCAAGCCGGCCCGUACCGCAAACCGACACAGGUGGUCGGGUAGAAGAUACCAAGGCGCUCGAGCGACUCAUGGUUAAGGAACUAGGCAAACUGACCCCGUAACUUCGGGAUAAGGGGUCCCACGCUCCGGCGUGGGCGCAGAGAAUAGGUCCAGGCAACUGUUUAACAAAAACACAGGGCCAUGCUAAAUUUAAAGAUGAAGAAUAUGGCCUGACACCUGCCCGGUGCCGGAAGGUUAAGAGGACGCGUCAUCGCGAGAGAAGCGCGGAAUUGAAGCCCCGGUAAACGGCGGCCGUAACUAUAACGGUCCUAAGGUAGCGAAAUUCCUUGUCGGGUAAGUUCCGACCUGCACGAAUGGUGUAAUGA